UUGAAAGGGAAACGAUUGAAGUCAGUCGUACCGACGAGAAAUCAACUUAUCGUGUGCGAACUUGUGGGCGUGCGUGAGUUUCGGCCUCGCUGUUUGCAUGUUUGUGCGUUUUGGGUGUACUUUUUCGUAUGGUAGGCCAACAUCAGUUUCGAUUACUAUAAAAUGACCGGCGGAAUGUAGCUUCGAUUUCGGUUGAAGUGUUAUAGCCUCUGGUAGAUGUGGUGAUUGGGACUGAGGAUUGCAACGAAUAUCCUUUGGGCUAUCCGUCUGAUCUCUGAAUGUUGCUCAGGUGCCGAAAGCGUGCUUACGGUCAUCUAAGUUGACGGUCAAUAGGUUAGAACGUGAUUACAUUCGUUAAGGAUG
RNAcentral lists this ribosomal RNA (363 nucleotides) under Glomus sp. rp25. Its description in RNAcentral is "eukaryotic LSU rRNA". Lineage: Eukaryota; Fungi; Glomeromycota; Glomeromycetes; Glomerales; Glomeraceae. The record is from RNAcentral.